Molecule: ribosomal RNA, 468 nt
Filed under: uncultured bacterium
Lineage: Bacteria
Description: partial 16S ribosomal RNA
Rfam family: Bacterial small subunit ribosomal RNA
Source: RNAcentral
GACGAACGCUGGCGGCGUGCUUAACACAUGCAAGUCGAACGGCAAGGCCCUGCUUUUGUGGGGUGCUCGAGUGGCGAACGGGUGAGUAACACGUGAGUAACCUGCCCUUGACUUUGGGAUAACUUCAGGAAACUGGGGCUAAUACCGGAUAGGAGCUCCUGCUGCAUGGUGGGGGUUGGAAAGUUUCGGCGGUUGGGGAUGGACUCGCGGCUUAUCAGCUUGUUGGUGGGGUAGUGGCUUACCAAGGCUUUGACGGGUAGCCGGCCUGAGAGGGUGACCGGCCACAUUGGGACUGAGAUACGGCCCAGACUGCUACGGGAGGCAGCAGUGGGGAAUAUUGCACAAUGGGCGGAAGCCUGAUGCAGCAACGCCGCGUGCGGGAUGACGGCCUUCGGGUUGUAAACCGCUUUCGCCUGUGACGAAGCGUGAGUGACGGUAAUGGGUAAAGAAGCACCGGCUAACUACGUG